RNAcentral lists this ribosomal RNA (435 nucleotides) under Acinetobacter baumannii. RNAcentral's name for it is "partial 23S ribosomal RNA". It matches the Rfam family "Bacterial large subunit ribosomal RNA", at positions 1 to 466 of the family's 2925-position model. Lineage: Bacteria; Pseudomonadati; Pseudomonadota; Gammaproteobacteria; Moraxellales; Moraxellaceae. The record is from RNAcentral.
GGGUUGUGAGGUUAAGCGACUAAGCGUACACGGUGGAUGCCCUGGCAGUCAGAGGCGAUGAAGGACGUGCUAAUCUGCGAAAAGCGUCGGUAAGGUGAUAUGAACCGUUAUAACCGGCGAUGUCCGAAUGGGGAAACCCAGUGUGAUUCGUCACACUAUCGUUAACUGAAUACAUAGGUUAACGAGGCGAACCGGGGGAACUGAAACAUCUAAGUACCCCGAGGAAAAGAAAUCAACCGAGAUUCCCCCAGUAGCGGCGAGCGAACGGGGAGCAGCCCAGAGUCUGAAUCAGCUUGUGUGUUAGUGGAACGGUCUGGAAAGUCCGACGGUACAGGGUGAUAGUCCCGUACACCAAAAUGCACAGGUUGUGAACUCGAAGAGUAGGGCGGGACACGUGGUAUCCUGUCUGAAUAUGGGGGGACCAUCCUCCAAGGC